RNAcentral lists this ribosomal RNA (530 nucleotides) under uncultured bacterium. RNAcentral describes it as "bacterial SSU rRNA". It matches the Rfam family "Bacterial small subunit ribosomal RNA", at positions 28 to 549 of the family's 1533-position model. The record is from RNAcentral.
AUUGAACGCUGGCGGCAGGCCUAACACAUGCAAGUCGAGCGGUAACAGGACUAGCUUGCUAGUUGCUGACAAGCGGCGGACGGGUGCGUAACACGUAGGAAUCUACCCAGUAGCGGGGGAUAGCCCGGAGAAAUCCGGAUUAAUACCGCAUACGCCCUACGGGGGAAAGCAGGGGAUCUUCGGACCUUGCACUAUUGGAUGAGCCUGCGUCGGAUUAGCUUGUUGGUGAGGUAAAGGCUCACCAAGGCGACGAUCCGUAGCUGGUCUGAGAGGAUGAUCAGCCACACUGGGACUGAGACACGGCCCAGACUCCUACGGGAGGCAGCAGUGGGGAAUAUUGCACAAUGGGCGAAAGCCUGAUGCAGCCAUGCCGCGUGUGUGAAGAAGGCUCUAGGGUUGUAAAGCACUUUCAGCGAGGAGGAAAGGUUGAUGAUUAAUACUCAUUAGCUGUGACGUUACUCGCAGAAGAAGCACCGGCUAACUCCGUGCCAGCAGCCGUGGUAAUACGGAGGGUGCAAGCGUUAAUCGGA